AUUCUUUUCUGUGAUUUUCACAUUCCCAUUAGCUUCAUAAUUAUCUAUAGGCCUGGAGUGUCACAGGGUCCCACACGAAUUUAAGGAGCUCGCAGCCACUUCCUGUUUCGGUCAUCAAUCGCUGGGACCUCGACUCAUUUAACUAAUUAUGCUUUAUUUUCUUAUUUCUAUUUCACCCUUAUAUGAUUUCUAUUAAUUUUUAUUUAUGACUUUUCUAGAUAUUUAAACAUGAUUCUAAAUAUUCUGACUGUCCGGACAGGCACUAGUCACCAGAACAGUAGAAUGU
RNAcentral lists this unclassified non-coding RNA (286 nucleotides) under Hevea brasiliensis (rubber tree). Lineage: Eukaryota; Viridiplantae; Streptophyta; Magnoliopsida; Malpighiales; Euphorbiaceae. The record is from RNAcentral.